RNAcentral lists this long non-coding RNA (2219 nucleotides) under Oreochromis niloticus (Nile tilapia). RNAcentral's name for it is "lncRNA (ENSONIG00000025214.2)". The record is from RNAcentral. Lineage: Eukaryota; Metazoa; Chordata; Actinopteri; Cichliformes; Cichlidae.
CUGGAAAGUUAGUUUGUCAGUCCUCAGCGCCACCCACUGGCAUCACUAAGCAAUUGCCUGGUUCAGAAAGAAGUCUCUUCUCUUCUGAACACCUGUGUAUCAUAAUGAAUCUGCAUCAGGUGCAAGUAAUCUGUCUGUUUCCUGUCAGUUGCUUUGGAUGCGAGACCUUUGAUUGGCUGUCAAGAGAAGAUAAAUUGGGUGCCUUGACUCCACCUGCCACUGUGCUACAGAAGGAGGAAAGCAGAGUGGUGGUUGUUUUGUGUUGGGUUAACAGACACUAGAUUUGGGGCUUCUCAAGCUUACACCUGAUAUUAUUUCUGCUUAAAGCGAUGAGCUUUAUAUUUUGUGUGUUGCUGCCAUGGGUACUUCUUGUUGGGGAGCUUCAAGCAAGUAUGAAACCUUCCCAUCUUGGCUUUGGAAAUGUUGAUGCCAGUAAGCAGGUCUCAGGUGACCAGCUUCAUCAGUUGCCACACUGGUUCAACCCUUUGCACCAGGACCAGGCCCAGCCUCAGCCUCGGAGCUCUCUUGCUCCUAGCUCUCAGCCCAAGGUCCAACCCCAGUCUCGCAGCUACCUCCCCCGGCCACUGCUGCAAGCUUAUGGUUCUCAGCCACAAGUCCAGCCCCUGUCACAGCCCCUGGUGCAUGCUCGCAGCUAUCAAGCUCAGCCACAGGCUCAUAGUUACUGGGCUGAGGCCCACCCCCAGCUGCAGCCUCGCAGUCAAGGCCAUCCUGGGAUCCAGGGUGCCCCCCAGGCCCAUCCCCAGGUACGCAGCUAUCCAAUGCAUCCUCAGAUGAUGCGUUACCAGCGCAGACCUCAUCUUCAGCCUUGGGUCAGGGCAACUGCCACAAACCACCAGAUUCUGCAAGGGGCUUAAACGAAGAGGGCCAACAUCAGAAGAUGGAUCAUUAACUGCAUGGAUACAAUUAAACUGAUCUUUAGGGGAAAUGUAAAUAAAUCUGUCUAGACGAGUCUGUGUGUGGGCUAGCUUAUUUAUAUUUUAUACUAAUAUCUCAGUUGUGACAGCAGGUGGUGCAUAUUUCAAAUUUUGAGCUCAAACUGAAGCCAUUCAUGUGCAGCAUCUACAGCAGGCAAAGAAGAUUGGCUCUGACAGCACGAGUGAUGCAUAAUGACCUGCUCUUCAGUCUGCAGGUGACCCAGUUCAACUGGAACAAGCUGCUUUUUUUUUUUUUUUAAAAAAAAAAAAAAAAAAAAACCCAGGCAAAGAAACAGAACUGCACAUCAAUACUGGGAUUAUGACGCUACUGUGGAAAACUUAAACAAAAUGGAGACUUUUAGAUUGGUUCUGCAUAUAGAGCCAAAAGUCUAUAUUUUUCAGCAUGUAAGUGAAAUCUUGAUUACUUUUUUGCGUACCUUUUAUUUCCAGACUGCUGUUAACUUAAAAGAGAAAAUCCAACUGAUUCAGAGCACUAUUCAGUCUGGUUACUAGAUAAAGUCAGAUUUUCUUUAAUGUGCACCAGAGACAAAUGAGUCUCAGGUGCACAUCUAAAUUCACUGGGUAACUGCAAGAAAAAAAAACAGGCCUUCGUGGAAAACUGCUGCAUGCAGUGCACUUGCAAUGCUUAACUCCAUGUUCCUGUUCAGCAAAGCGACCAAAGUCGUCUCUUUAUCAGUUAAGUAUCCUCCAGGAGGUGUUAAUAUAACGUAGGUGGUAGAAAUAAUAAGCUACAAAAAUGUACAUGUCUCUGAUAAUUCCCUCGACGGAUGAAAUGCUGUUUGUCCAAAUCCUGGUUUUGGUGGAUCUUGUUAAAUUGGUUUGAGAUGUGGAGGCUGCAGGCAUAUGACUAAUUCCAUUUUGUUUGGUGAUCCCUCCAAGUCCUUAGCAGAAGCAUUCCAUGUUUUUGAACUCAUUUAUUCACAGCACAUUUAAUCUAACAACUGUUUCCUAUCCAGCAUACAUUGUUCCUACAUGUCCAUGCUUAUGUUCUGCCUAUAGGUGGCACCAUCUGACAUGAAACUUGACUGUCGUGGACAUGUUGGGACUAAAAGACAAAUACUGCAGGGACUAGAAUAUUUUAAUACUUGUUUUAAACUAUAAAGAAACCAGUUUUCCCUAAAUGGCAAAAUAGAUUCUUUAAGGAACUGUUUUCUAGAAAGUUGCUUUUACUGAGAUGACUUUACACUGUUUCAAAAGUAUAACUUGUACUAUAAUGGUAUAUUAGUAUGAGUUACAAUUCUUCUAUAUCUCAUAUGUAAAAUG